This is a long non-coding RNA of Astatotilapia calliptera (eastern happy), 1007 nucleotides long. NCBI's taxonomy places the organism in Eukaryota, Metazoa, Chordata, Actinopteri, Cichliformes, Cichlidae. The record is from Ensembl.
UUAGGAAACUCAGGUGUUUUAAGUUCGUUUAAACCUGUGACAGGUCUGUGAGUUUCUUGUAAUAAAACAACAUCUGCCUGUAGUUUUUAAAGCUGGUUAAAUAUCUUUAACCUCUUUCCUCUGGUGCCAGCUCCAUUUACAUUCCAUGUGACAAACCUCAGCAUGCCCAUAAUUGUGUGUGUAUGUCUAAUGAUGUACGCUGGGUGUUUCGUUUAGACAGGUGGAGAAAAUGUGGAAACAUCCCUUGUUUGUAAAUAGAAAGAGAGAGAGGAAAAAAAAAAGUGUGGUGAGAGGCUCCAGGACUCUGACUAUGUGUGUGAAUAUUCACUAAUAUGAACAAGCGUGGCUUGUGUUAUGUGUCCUGCAAGUCUGUGCGUGCUGUGAGGCUGUUGUGAAUAUGCUGCCGUUGAGCGGAUGUGUUUGCGUGAUCGUGGUGUGAAAAUAUGGAGAAAUAGAGGGUGUUGUUUGUAGGUGAGUGGGGAAGUAGGUGACCACAGCAGUGAAAGACAAGAGAAAGAAAGAAACCACAUGAACUGUGAGCGACAACAAAAAAAAAAAAAGAAAAAAAGAAACGAAACGGAAACAUUCCAAUUAAAGCAAUGACGGAGGGUGACGGUGUUAUAUCUGCUAUGACAUCAUAUUGAUAUUACUAGGUUAAACCCAUGUUAAAGGAGAAAGUGUGAAUGAAUAAGAAAAGAGUGUAGCGGGUUCUUAUCUGGAGUGCAGUCAAUAUAACCACGGUGUGGUGCCGGGGUCGCGGUAGAGCUGUCCGUCCACGUAGAGCCGGUCCACGGCGACGACAGCACGGGAGCCUUUCUGGAUGAAGCUACGUCGAACUGGGAACAGGACCUUGCGUCGUUCCAGGAUCUCUUUGGGGAACUGGUCGUUCACGCUGAAGUCCGUUCCUUUCAGCUCUCUGCCGCGACUCUUCACCUGUUCCUUCUGUUUGAAUUGACCGAAUUUGGCCACAAUAGGCCGUGGUCUCCCAGUCCGCGACCUCACGCCCC